AUUUUGCUGACGAAUCUCAAAUAAGACGAAAUACAUAUCUUAGAU
RNAcentral lists this non-coding RNA (45 nucleotides) under Schistosoma margrebowiei. The record is from RNAcentral. Lineage: Eukaryota; Metazoa; Platyhelminthes; Trematoda; Strigeidida; Schistosomatidae.